This 425-nucleotide ribosomal RNA is filed under the name uncultured bacterium. RNAcentral describes it as "partial 16S ribosomal RNA". It matches the Rfam family "Bacterial small subunit ribosomal RNA", at positions 354 to 796 of the family's 1533-position model. The record is from RNAcentral.
GUGGGGAAUCUUGCGCAAUGGGCGAAAGCCUGACGCAGCCAUGCCGCGUGAAUGAUGAAGGUCUUAGGAUUGUAAAAUUCUUUCACCGGGGACGAUAAUGACGGUACCCGGAGAAGAAGCCCCGGCUAACUUCGUGCCAGCAGCCGUGGUAAUACGAAGGGGGCUAGCGUUGCUCGGAAUUACUGGGCGUAAAGGGCGCGUAGGCGGACAGUUUAGUCAGAGGUGAAAGCCCAGGGCUCAACCUUGGAAUUGCCUUUGAUACUGGCUGUCUUGAGUACGGGAGAGGUGAGUGGAACUCCGAGUGUAGAGGUGAAAUUCGUAGAUAUUCGGAAGAACACCAGUGGCGAAGGCGACUCACUGGCCCGUUACUGACGCUGAGGCGCGAAAGCGUGGGGAGCAAACAGGAUUAGAUACCCUAGUAGUCC